CACGGGGUUGCGAGCGUUGUCCGGAAUUGCUAGGCGUAAAGGGCAGGCAGGCGGAUCCAUAAGUUUAUCGUUUAAGGCGUCGGCUUAACCGGCGUAGGGCGGUAGAUACUGUGGAUCUGGAAUGCGGUUGGGGAAGACAGAAUUCCUGGUGUAGCGGUGGAAUGCGCAGAGAUCAGGAGGAAUACCGAAGGCGAAGGCAGUCUUCCAAGCCGUUAUUGACGCUCAACUGCGAAGGUGUGGGUAUCAAACAGGAUUAGAUACCCUGGUAGUCCCU
RNAcentral lists this ribosomal RNA (274 nucleotides) under uncultured prokaryote. Its description in RNAcentral is "partial 16S ribosomal RNA". It matches the Rfam family "Bacterial small subunit ribosomal RNA", at positions 524 to 798 of the family's 1533-position model. The record is from RNAcentral.